CCUACGGGGUGCAGCAGUGGGGAAUAUUGCACAAUGGGGGAAACCCUGAUGCAGCAACGCCGCGUGAGUGAAGAAGGUUUUCGGAUUGUAAAGCUCUGUUAGCAGGGAAGAGGAAGGACGGUACCUGCAGAGGAAGCCACGGCUAACUACGUGCCAGCAGCCGCGGUAAUACGUAGGUGGCAAGCGUUGUUCGGAUUUAUUGGGUUUAAAGGGUGCGUAGGCGGAAUGCCAAGUCAGCGGUAAAAUCGCGGGGCUAAACCUCGCUCCGCCGUUGAAACUGGCGUUCUUGAGUGGGCGAGAAGGAUGCGGAAUGCGUGGUGUAGCGGUGAAAUGCAUAGAUAUCACGCAGAACUCCGAUGGCGAAGGCAGCAUACCGGCGCCCAACUGACGCUGAAGCACGAAAGCGUGGGGAUCGAACAGGAUUAGAUACCCCUGUAGUC
RNAcentral lists this ribosomal RNA (440 nucleotides) under uncultured bacterium. RNAcentral's name for it is "partial 16S ribosomal RNA". It matches the Rfam family "Bacterial small subunit ribosomal RNA", at positions 338 to 795 of the family's 1533-position model. The record is from RNAcentral.